UACGAAGGGGGCUAGCGUUGUUCGGAAUUACUGGGCGUAAAGCGCACGUAGGCGGAAUGUUAAGUCAGGGGUGAAAUCCCGGGGCUCAACCCCGGAACUGCCUUUGAUACUGGCAUUCUCGAGUCCGGAAGAGGUGAGUGGAAUUCCGAGUGUAGAGGUGAAAUUCGUAGAUAUUCGGAGGAACACCAGUGGCGAAGGCGGCUCACUGGCCCGAUACUGACGCUGAGGCACGAAAGCGUGGGGAGCAAACAGG
Molecule: ribosomal RNA, 253 nt
Filed under: uncultured bacterium
Lineage: Bacteria
Description: partial 16S ribosomal RNA
Rfam family: Bacterial small subunit ribosomal RNA
Source: RNAcentral